Molecule: long non-coding RNA, 248 nt
Filed under: Setaria italica (foxtail millet)
Lineage: Eukaryota; Viridiplantae; Streptophyta; Magnoliopsida; Poales; Poaceae
Description: long non-coding RNA (SITA_LNC004073)
Source: RNAcentral
GCGUAUAUAAAUGUUCAUACUAGAUCUAACUAACAUAAAUUAGGUAAGGAAAAGGAAAAUAAAAAUAGACGAUACCCACACUUACUUAAAGUUGUAUGGCAGUAGUAUGUAUUGCUUGUAAUUUUGUUGAUCCAAUAAUUUGUAUAUUGCAUCCAAUUUAGACUUUCAUUGAUCCCAUAUCUGAUCUUGGUUAACAAGCGAUGGAUCCAUGAAGCUAAUAUUGAAGUAGGAUUUUUGGCGGCACCUCU